This 836-nucleotide ribosomal RNA is filed under the name Brachybacterium sp. UFH. RNAcentral's name for it is "bacterial SSU rRNA". It matches the Rfam family "Bacterial small subunit ribosomal RNA", at positions 56 to 902 of the family's 1533-position model. The record is from RNAcentral. Lineage: Bacteria; Bacillati; Actinomycetota; Actinomycetes; Micrococcales; Dermabacteraceae.
UGCAAGUCGACGAUGACGGUGGUGCUUGCACCACCUGAUUAGUGGCGAACGGGUGASUAACACGUGAGUAACCUGCCCUUCACUUCGGGAUAACCUCGGGAAAUCGUGGCUAAUACCGGAUAUGAGCUCCUUCCGCAUGGCGGGGGUUGGAAAGAUUUAUCGGUGAAGGAUGGACUCGCGGCCUAUCAGUUUGUUGGUGAGGUAAUGGCUCACCAAGGCGAUGACGGGUAGCCGGCCUGAGAGGGCGACCGGCCACACUGGGACUGAGACACGGCCCAGACUCCUACGGGAGGCAGCAGUGGGGAAUAUUGCACAAUGGGCGAAAGCCUGAUGCAGCGACGCCGCGUGGGGGAUGACGGCCUUCGGGUUGUAAACCCCUUUCAGUAGGGAAGAAGCGAAAGUGACGGUACCUGCAGAAGAAGCGCCGGCUAACUACGUGCCAGCAGCCGCGGUAAUACGUAGGGCGCAAGCGUUGUCCGGAAUUAUUGGGCGUAAAGAGCUCGUAGGUGGCUUGUCGCGUCUGCCGUGAAAACCCGAGGCUCAACCUCGGGCGUGCGGUGGGUACGGGCAGGCUAGAGUGUGGUAGGGGAGACUGGAACUCCUGGUGUAGCGGUGAAAUGCGCAGAUAUCAGGAAGAACACCGAUGGCGAAGGCAGGUCUCUGGGCCAUUACUGACACUGAGGAGCGAAAGCAUGGGUAGCGAACAGGAUUAGAUACCCUGGUAGUCCAUGCCGUAAACGUUGGGCACUAGAUGUGGGGGACAUUCCACGUUUUCCGCGUCGUAGCUAACGCAUUAAGUGCCCCGCCUGGGGAGUACGGCCGCAAGGCUAAAACUC